AUGGCCAUGCUACCCUUAGAUCAUUUCUUCAUCCUUCUUCUGCUCUGUAUCUCUGACUCUAGGGCAGAAAUAACUGUGACACAGUCUCCAGCAUUCCUGUCCAUGGCUGAAAAAGAAACAGUCACUAUCAGUUGCAAAAUCAGCACAAAUAUUGAUGAUGAUAUGAACUGGUACCAGCAGAAGCCAGGGAAAGCUCCUAAGCUCCUUAUUUCAAAAGGAAAUACUCUUCGUCCUGGAGUCCCUUCCCGGUUCUCAAGCAGUGACUAUGGCACAGAUUUUGUUCUUACAAUUAAUAACAUCCUCUCAGAAGAUGCUGCAGUGUAUUACUGUCAGCAAAGUGAUGACCUCCCUCUCACAGUGCUAUGUCUUUGUACAAAAACCUGCAGAUGCUGUUGUUGA
Arvicanthis niloticus (Nile rat) is the source of this 399-nucleotide non-coding RNA. The record is from the annotation of a RefSeq genome assembly. NCBI's taxonomy places the organism in Eukaryota, Metazoa, Chordata, Mammalia, Rodentia, Muridae.